UUAAGCGACUAAGCGUACACGGUGGAUGCCCUGGCAGUCAGAGGCGAUGAAGGGCGUGCUAAUCUGCGAUAAGCGCCGGUAAGGUGAUAUGAACCGUUAUAACCGGCGAUACCCGAAUGGGGAAACCCAGUGUGAUUCGUCACACUAUCAUUAACUGAAUCCAUAGGUUAAUGAGGCGAACCGGGGGAACUGAAACAUCUAAGUACCCCGAGGAAAAGAAAUCAACCGAGAUUCCCCCAGUAGCGGCGAGCGAACGGGGAGGAGCCCAGAGCCUGAAUCAGCAUGUGUGUUAGUGGAAGCGUCUGGAAAGGUGCGCGAUACAGGGUGACAGCCCCGUACACAAAAGCGCAUGUGCUGUGAGCUCGAUGAGUAGGGCGGGACACGUGGUAUCCUGUCUGAAUAUGGGGGGACCAUCCUCCAAGGCUAAAUACUCCUGACUGACCGAUAGUGAACCAGUACCGUGAGGGAAAGGCGAAAAGAACCCCGGCGAGGGGAGUGAAAAAGAACCUGAAACCGUGUACGUACAAGCAGUGGGAGCACAGGUUUACCUGUGUGACUGCGUACCUUUUGUAUAAUGGGUCAGCGACUUAUAUUCUGUAGCAAGGUUAACCGAAUAGGGGAGCCGGAGGGAAACCGAGUCUUAAUUGGGCGUUAAGUUGCAGGGUAUAGACCCGAAACCCGGUGAUCUAGCCAUGGGCAGGUUGAAGGUUGGGUAACACUAACUGGAGGACCGAACCGACUAAUGUUGAAAAAUUAGCGGAUGACCUGUGGCUGGGGGUGAAAGGCCAAUCAAACCGGGAGAUAGCUGGUUCUCCCCGAAAGCUAUUUAGGUAGCGCCUCGUGAAUUCAUCUCCGGGGGUAGAGCACUGUUUCGGCUAGGGGGCCAUCCCGGCUUACCAACCCGAUGCAAACUGCGAAUACCGGAGAAUGUUAUCACGGGAGACACACGGCGGGUGCUAACGUCCGUCGUGAAGAGGGAAACAACCCAGACCGCCAGCUAAGGUCCCAAAGUCAUGGUUAAGUGGGAAACGAUGUGGGAAGGCCCAGACAGCCAGGAUGUUGGCUUAGAAGCAGCCAUCAUUUAAAGAAAGCGUAAUAGCUCACUGGUCGAGUCGGCCUGCGCGGAAGAUGUAACGGGGCUAAACCAUGCACCGAAGCUGCGGCAGCGAACGUAUCACCCAAGACAACUUUACGGAGUUGACGAUUGACGGAGCGAAGCGACGUCAAAGCGUUCAUUAAAGUCGAGUUGGCUUAGGGAUACGUUCGUUGGGUAGGGGAGCGUUCUGUAAGCCUGUGAAGGUGUGUCGUGAGGCAUGCUGGAGGUAUCAGAAGUGCGAAUGCUGACAUAAGUAACGAUAAAGCGGGUGAAAAGCCCGCUCGCCGGAAGACCAAGGGUUCCUGUCCAACGUUAAUCGGGGCAGGGUGAGUCGACCCCUAAGGCGAGGCCGAAAGGCGUAGUCGAUGGGAAACGGGUUAAUAUUCCCGUACUUGGUGUUACUGCGAAGGGGGGACGGAGAAGGCUAUGUUGGCCGGGCGACGGUUGUCCCGGUUUAAGCGUGUAGGUGUGUGUUCCAGGUAAAUCCGGUUCACUUUAACACUGAGGCGUGACGACGAGGCACUACGGUGCUGAAGCAACAAAUGCCCUGCUUCCAGGAAAAGCCUCUAAGCAUCAGGUAACACGAAAUCGUACCCCAAACCGACACAGGUGGUCAGGUAGAGAAUACCAAGGCGCUUGAGAGAACUCGGGUGAAGGAACUAGGCAAAAUGGUGCCGUAACUUCGGGAGAAGGCACGCUGACACGUAGGUGAAGUGAUUUACUCAUGGAGCUGAAGUCAGUCGAAGAUACCAGCUGGCUGCAACUGUUUAUUAAAAACACAGCACUGUGCAAACACGAAAGUGGACGUAUACGGUGUGACGCCUGCCCGGUGCCGGAAGGUUAAUUGAUGGGGUCAGCGCAAGCGAAGCUCCUGAUCGAAGCCCCGGUAAACGGCGGCCGUAACUAUAACGGUCCUAAGGUAGCGAAAUUCCUUGUCGGGUAAGUUCCGACCUGCACGAAUGGCGUAAUGAUGGCCAGGCUGUCUCCACCCGAGACUCAGUGAAAUUGAACUCGCUGUGAAGAUGCAGUGUACCCGCGGCAAGACGGAAAGACCCCGUGAACCUUUACUAUAGCUUGACACUGAACAUUGAGCCUUGAUGUGUAGGAUAGGUGGGAGGCUUUGAAGUGUGGACGCCAGUCUGCAUGGAGCCGACCUUGAAAUACCACCCUUUAAUGUUUGAUGUUCUAACGUGGACCCGUAAUCCGGGUUGCGGACAGUGUCUGGUGGGUAGUUUGACUGGGGCGGUCUCCUCCUAAAGAGUAACGGAGGAGCACGAAGGUUGGCUAAUCCUGGUCGGACAUCAGGAGGUUAGUGCAAUGGCAUAAGCCAGCUUGACUGCGAGCGUGACGGCGCGAGCAGGUGCGAAAGCAGGUCAUAGUGAUCCGGUGGUUCUGAAUGGAAGGGCCAUCGCUCAACGGAUAAAAGGUACUCCGGGGAUAACAGGCUGAUACCGCCCAAGAGUUCAUAUCGACGGCGGUGUUUGGCACCUCGAUGUCGGCUCAUCACAUCCUGGGGCUGAAGUAGGUCCCAAGGGUAUGGCUGUUCGCCAUUUAAAGUGGUACGCGAGCUGGGUUUAGAACGUCGUGAGACAGUUCGGUCCCUAUCUGCCGUGGGCGCUGGAGAACUGAGGGGGGCUGCUCCUAGUACGAGAGGACCGGAGUGGACGCAUCACUGGUGUUCGGGUUGUCAUGCCAAUGGCACUGCCCGGUAGCUAAAUGCGGAAGAGAUAAGUGCUGAAAGCAUCUAAGCACGAAACUUGCCCCGAGAUGAGUUCUCCCUGAGACUUAGAGUCUCCUGAAGGAACGUUGAAGACGACGACGUUGAUAGGCCGGGUGUGUAAGCGCAGCGAUGCGUUGAGCUAACCGGUACUAAUGAACCGUGAGGCUUAACCUU
Molecule: ribosomal RNA, 2990 nt
Filed under: Salmonella enterica subsp. enterica serovar Typhimurium
Lineage: Bacteria; Pseudomonadati; Pseudomonadota; Gammaproteobacteria; Enterobacterales; Enterobacteriaceae
Description: bacterial LSU rRNA
Rfam family: Bacterial large subunit ribosomal RNA
Source: RNAcentral